GCUAUGAUGAAUUUUCAAUCUUUAGUCGGAUACCCCUUCACUCUUAAUUAUGAGUGAGAGAUCCAGUCUGAGAAGC
This is a small nucleolar RNA of Danio rerio (zebrafish), 76 nucleotides long. NCBI's taxonomy places the organism in Eukaryota, Metazoa, Chordata, Actinopteri, Cypriniformes, Danionidae. The record is from Ensembl.